CGUGAAAUUGUUGAAAGGGAUGCGUUUAUGACCAGACUUGGGCUGGGUUAAUCAUCUGGGGUUCUCCCCAGUGCACUUUUCCAGUCCAGGCCAGCAUCAGUUUUCCCCGGGGGAUAAAGGAAUAGCGAAUGUGCCAGUCUUCGGGGUACGUUAUGCGGCGAGUCGUAAUACCCUGGCAGAGAAUGAGGUUCGCGCAUCUGGCAGAAGGAGGGCGAAAUGGUCAUAAACAAACCGUCUUAAAACACGG
RNAcentral lists this ribosomal RNA (247 nucleotides) under Hypocreales sp. RNAcentral describes it as "partial large subunit ribosomal RNA". Lineage: Eukaryota; Fungi; Ascomycota; Sordariomycetes; Hypocreales. The record is from RNAcentral.